RNAcentral lists this long non-coding RNA (825 nucleotides) under Gossypium barbadense (sea-island cotton). Its description in RNAcentral is "long non-coding RNA (GBAR_LNC015249)". The record is from RNAcentral. Lineage: Eukaryota; Viridiplantae; Streptophyta; Magnoliopsida; Malvales; Malvaceae.
AGCCAAACAAUAUCUCUGUACAUUUUUUAGAGACAGCAUUUUGAAUUCAAGAAAAAGAAAAAGCAAAUCAAAAAAGGUUGACUCCAGUUAUUUCUACUCUGUUCUCGUGUUCUUAUUCAUUUUAUUUCUUUUAUUUUUGUUUAUUUUUCUGCAAUCGUUUAAUAAAUAAAGCGGGACUAAAAGGGAAAGGGGAAGAUACCUUACUGCUUCGGUGGGCUGGUGUCGGAACUCCGCCUUUGCCGUCGUCGGAGUCGAGCAAAAAGGGGCGUUUCAUCCCUUUUCCUUUUGGUCUCGCGGUUGAGAAGGCUUAGCCUUCGGGGACGCCGCAAAAGGGGGAGGCCUAGGGGCCGUUCUCGCGCAGCUCCGGCCACUGGCCAUGGAGGCGGAGAUGGUGGCCUGAGCUUUAAGGCCGAGAGGGGCGCAGAGAGGAGAGCAUUCAAGCUCUCUGUUCUCUUUUCCUGUUUCUUUUUUUUAUUUUUUUUAUUUUUUUCUCUUUUCAUUAGAGAAUGAAAUGGAGGCUACCAGAUUAGGGUUCUUUUUGGCCCUUACUUGAUGUGUGAAACGACGCCGUUUGGAGUCUGAUCAGUGGCUCCAAAACGGCGUCGUAUUGAGCUCUGACCCGCGCGGUGACCCGACCCAGGGGAAGGAUCCGCGUGUUUUCUUUAAAUGGGAUAUUUGUGCGCGUAGUCCCUCCGACUUUGUAGCGCGUUGCAAUUUGGUCCUGUUUCGCUAUUUCCUAUUUUUCAAUUUUGCCCCAGAAUUCUGUUUUUGUUCUAUUUUGACCCUCUGCUGCACUGCGUUUUGGGGCUUCGGGGUAUUUAUGAU